Molecule: long non-coding RNA, 319 nt
Filed under: Mustela putorius furo (domestic ferret)
Lineage: Eukaryota; Metazoa; Chordata; Mammalia; Carnivora; Mustelidae
Description: lncRNA (ENSMPUG00000026275.1)
Source: RNAcentral
UUAAAUGUAUUCCUCUCUCUGUUGUAGGAGGUAGAUCACAGGUGGCCGGAAGGGAGGCCCGGAGAGCAGUUCCUGGGCUACCAUUGUGUUUUAGGUGAGAGAUGGUGGUGGAGCAGCACAGAUCCAGAGAGGUUAAUGUUGCCAAGUGGUUUUUGGAAGUACAGUCAAAAGGAUCUGGUGAGGAGCAUUAAACCUGAGGAGUGCAGGAAAGAGAGGAGAAGCACGUGUUCUUCAACAGGGAAGAUGGUACAAGAAAGUUACAGACACUGCAAGAGCAUAGGCGGCCUCCGGGGCUGCAUCCUGACCCCUUGUUGGUUUU